CAGUCGCCGCGGGAAUACGUAGGUGGCAAGCGUUGUCCGGAAUUAUUGGGCGUAAAGGGCUCGCAGGCGGUUUCUUAAGUCUGAUGUGAAAGCCCCCGGCUCAACCGGGGAGGGUCAUUGGAAACUGGGAAACCUGAGUGCAGAAGAGGAGAGUGGAAUUCCACGUGUAGCGGUGAAAUGCGUAGAGAUGUGGAGGAACACCAGUGGCGAAGGCGACUCUCUGGUCUGUAACUGACGCUGAGGAGCGAAAGCGUGGGGAGCGAACAGGAUUAGAUACCCCCGUAGUCCCUGUCUCUUAUAC
RNAcentral lists this ribosomal RNA (301 nucleotides) under uncultured bacterium. Its description in RNAcentral is "partial 16S ribosomal RNA". It matches the Rfam family "Bacterial small subunit ribosomal RNA", at positions 509 to 807 of the family's 1533-position model. The record is from RNAcentral.